This 232-nucleotide ribosomal RNA is filed under the name uncultured bacterium. Its description in RNAcentral is "partial 16S ribosomal RNA". It matches the Rfam family "Bacterial small subunit ribosomal RNA", at positions 103 to 334 of the family's 1533-position model. The record is from RNAcentral.
CGGGUGAGUAACGCGUGAGGAACCUGCCUCAAAGAGGGGGACAACAUUGGAAACGACUGCUAAUACCGCAUAAGCCCACAGCUCGGCAUCGAGCAGAGGGAAAAGGAGCAAUCCGCUUUGAGAUGGCCUCGCGUCCGAUUAGCUAGUUGGUGAGGUAACGGCCCACCAAGGCGACGAUCGGUAGCCGGACUGAGAGGUUGAACGGCCACAUUGGGACUGAGACACGGCCCAG